Molecule: transfer RNA, 365 nt
Filed under: uncultured Microcystis sp.
Lineage: Bacteria; Bacillati; Cyanobacteriota; Cyanophyceae; Chroococcales; Microcystaceae
Description: partial 16S-23S ribosomal RNA intergenic spacer
Rfam family: tRNA (bases 136-209)
Source: RNAcentral
AAAGGGAGACCUAAUUCAGGUAGGAGACGAAAAAAAAGUAGUCGCUACCAAGAAUCAAUCCCAAAAGGUCGGAGCGAGGCGAAAUUGGCUUUCAAACUAGGUUCUGGGUUCACACAAGACCUGAAUCAGGAACAAGGGCUAUUAGCUCAGGUGGUUAGAGCGCACCCCUGAUAAGGGUGAGGUCCCUGGUUCGAGUCCAGGAUGGCCCACCUGUACAGGUGGCAAAAACAAAGAAAAGAAGCUCCGAAUCAGCACCUUAUCUUAUUUAUAUAGUAAGAGAGAAUGCUGGCUCUGAGUAAAGAGUCCAGAGGAACCUUGAAAACUGCAUAGAGCUAGGUGAAAAAGCCAAAAAAGAAGACCGCAAG